RNAcentral lists this ribosomal RNA (221 nucleotides) under uncultured bacterium. Its description in RNAcentral is "partial 16S ribosomal RNA". It matches the Rfam family "Bacterial small subunit ribosomal RNA", at positions 523 to 743 of the family's 1533-position model. The record is from RNAcentral.
UAUCGAAGGGGGCUAGCGUUUGUUUCGGAUUUACUGGGCGUAAAGCGCACGUAGGCGGAUCUUUAAGUCAGAGGUGAAAUCCCAAGGCUCAACCUUGGAACUGCCUUUGAUACUGGGGAUCUCGAGUCCGGGAGAGGUGAGUGGAUUCCUGGUGUAGCGGUGAAAUGCGCAGAUAUCAGGAAGAACACCCGUGCUAAGGCGGCUCUCUAGUACGUACUUGA